UACGAAGGGGGCGAGCGUUGUUCGGAAUUACUGGGCGUAAAGGGCGCGUAGGCGGCGAACCAAGUCAGAUGUGAAAGUCCUGGGCUUAACCUGGGGACUGCAUUUGAUACUGGUUUGCUUGAAUUCGGGAGAGGAUAGCGGAAUUCCCAGUGUAGAGGUGAAAUUCGUAGAUAUUGGGAAGAACACCGGUGGCGAAGGCGGCUAUCUGGACCGACAUUGACGCGUGAGGCGCGAAAGCGUGGGGAGCAAACAGG
Molecule: ribosomal RNA, 254 nt
Filed under: uncultured bacterium
Lineage: Bacteria
Description: partial 16S ribosomal RNA
Rfam family: Bacterial small subunit ribosomal RNA
Source: RNAcentral